AACGAACCGUGCGAACGUUGUUCGGAAUCACUGGGCUUAAAGGGCGCGUAGGCGGCCUUGAAAGUCGGGGGUGAAAUCCCACGGCCUAACCGUGGAAGUGCCUCCGAUACUGCAAGGCUCGAGGGAGGUAGGGGCAGCGGGAACUUCCGGUGGAGCGGUGAAAUGCGUUGAUAUCGGAAGGAACGCCGGUGGCGAAAGCGCGCUGCUGGACCUCUGCUGACGCUGAGGCGCGAAAGCCAGGGGAGCAAACGGG
This 253-nucleotide ribosomal RNA is filed under the name uncultured bacterium. RNAcentral's name for it is "partial 16S ribosomal RNA". It matches the Rfam family "Bacterial small subunit ribosomal RNA", at positions 524 to 776 of the family's 1533-position model. The record is from RNAcentral.